CUCAUACUUCCUCCGUCUCAAAAUUUUUGUCUUAGGUUUAUCUAAAAAUAAAUGUAUCUAAAUACUAAAAUGUGACNNNNUACAUUCAUAUCUAGACAAAUUUAAGGCAAUUUUUUUGAAACGGAGGGAGUAUAAG
Hordeum vulgare subsp. vulgare (domesticated barley) is the source of this 136-nucleotide non-coding RNA. NCBI's taxonomy places the organism in Eukaryota, Viridiplantae, Streptophyta, Magnoliopsida, Poales, Poaceae. The record is from Rfam.